This 302-nucleotide ribosomal RNA is filed under the name uncultured bacterium. Its description in RNAcentral is "partial 16S ribosomal RNA". It matches the Rfam family "Bacterial small subunit ribosomal RNA", at positions 508 to 807 of the family's 1533-position model. The record is from RNAcentral.
GCAGCAGCCGCGGUAAUACGGAGGGUGCAAGCGUUAAUCGGAAUUACUGGGCGUAAAGCGCACGCAGGCGGUCUGACAAGUCAGAUGUGAAAUCCCCGGGCUUAACCUGGGAACUGCAUUUGAAACUGUCAGGCUGGAGUCUUGUAGAGGGGGGUGGAAUUCCAGGUGUAGCGGUGAAAUGCGUAGAGAUCUGGAGGAAUACCGGUGGCGAAGGCGGCCCCCUGGACAAAGACUGACGCUCAGGUGCGAAAGCGUGGGGAGCAAACAGGAUUAGAUACCCCGGUAGUCCCUGUCUCUUAUAC